GACGAACGCUGGCGGCGUGCUUAACACAUGCAAGUCGAACGGAAAGGCCCUGCUUUUGUGGGGUGCUCGAGUGGCGAACGGGUGAGUAACACGUGAGUAACCUGCCCUUGACUUUGGGAUAACUUCAGGAAACUGGGGCUAAUACCGGAUAGGAGCUCCUGCUGCAUGGUGGGGGUUGGAAAGUUUCGGCGGUUGGGGAUGGACUCGCGGCUUAUCAGCUUGUUGGUGGGGUAGUGGCUUACCAAGGCUUUGACGGGUAGCCGGCCUGAGAGGGUGACCGGCCACAUUGGGACGGAGAUACGGCCCAGACUCCGACGGGAGGCAGGAGGGGGGAAUAGUGCACAGGGGGCGGAAGCCUGAUGCAGCAACCCCGGGGGGGGGAUGACGGCCUUCGGGUUGAAAACCGCUUCCGCUUGGGACGAAGCGUGAGGGACGGUAAUGGAAAAAGAAGCACCGGCUAACUACGUG
This 468-nucleotide ribosomal RNA is filed under the name uncultured bacterium. RNAcentral describes it as "partial 16S ribosomal RNA". It matches the Rfam family "Bacterial small subunit ribosomal RNA", at positions 28 to 507 of the family's 1533-position model. The record is from RNAcentral.